RNAcentral lists this ribosomal RNA (459 nucleotides) under uncultured bacterium. Its description in RNAcentral is "partial 16S ribosomal RNA". It matches the Rfam family "Bacterial small subunit ribosomal RNA", at positions 338 to 795 of the family's 1533-position model. The record is from RNAcentral.
CCUACGGGUGGCAGCAGUGAGGAAUAUUGGUCAAUGGGCGGGAGCCUGAACCAGCCAUGCCGCGUGAAGGCGAGUGCCCUACGGGCGUUAAACUUCUUUUGUGCGGGAGCAAUAAGGGCCACGCGUGGCCCGAUGAGAGUACCGCACGAAUAAGCAUCGGCUAACUCCGUGCCAGCAGCCGCGGUAAUACGGGGGAUGCGAGCGUUAUCCGGAAUGACUGGGCGUAAAGGGUGCGUAGGUGGUUUGGCAAGUUAGUAGCGUAACUCCAAGGCUCAACCUUGGAACUACUACUAAAACUGUUGGACUUGAGUGCAGGAGGGGCAACCGGAAUUCCUAGUGUAGCGGUGGAAUGCGUAGAUAUUAGGAGGAACACCAGUGGCGAAGGCGGGUUGCUAGACUGUAACUGACACUGAGGCACGAAAGCGUGGGGAGCAAACAGGAUUAGAUACCCUGGUAGUC